Molecule: ribosomal RNA, 467 nt
Filed under: uncultured bacterium
Lineage: Bacteria
Description: partial 16S ribosomal RNA
Rfam family: Bacterial small subunit ribosomal RNA
Source: RNAcentral
GACGAACGCUGGCGGCGUGCUUAACACAUGCAAGUCGAACGGAAAGGCUCCAGCUUGCUGGAGUGCUCGAGUGGCGAACGGGUGAGUAACACGUGGGCAAUCUGCCCUGCACUCUGGGAUAAGCCUGGGAAACUGGGUCUAAUACCGGAUAGGACCUUUCUCCUCAUGGGGUUUGGUGGAAAGUUUUUCGGUGCAGGAUGGGCCCGCGGCCUAUCAGCUUGUUGGUGGGGUAAUGGCCUACCAAGGCGACGACGGGUAGCCGGCCUGAGAGGGUGGUCGGGCACAUUGGGACUGAGAUACGGCGCAGACUGCUACGGGAGGCAGCAGUGGGGAAUAUUGCACAAUGGGCGAAAGCCUGAUGCAGCGACGCCGCGUGAGGGAUGACGGCCUUCGGGUUGUGAACCUCUUUCAGUAGGGACGAAGCGCAAGUGACGGUACCUGCAGAAGAAGCACCGGCUAACUACGUG